CCUUAUUGAGGCCUUUGGGAGCAAGCGUCUCGAGCCGGUGGAUCCAAUAUGCUUCACGUUGGUGGAGCAUCUGGAUCCGAUUUCCUCCACGUCGAGGCAGGCAAUUGAAAAAACGGA
Bufo bufo (common toad) is the source of this 117-nucleotide long non-coding RNA. RefSeq lists it as uncharacterized. NCBI's taxonomy places the organism in Eukaryota, Metazoa, Chordata, Amphibia, Anura, Bufonidae. The transcript has 3 exons. The record is from RefSeq and is a predicted model, not a curated record.